UGCCUAUGGCCGCUGGGAUGACCUGCACUACCGACUGACUGACCUUGGAGACUCCUCUGAAUCAGCUGCCUCCCAGCCUCCCACCCUGUGCCCAGACUCGCCAGCCACCCCAGACCUCUCUCACAACCAAUUCUUCUGGCUGGGCAAGGACUACAGCAAUCUUAUCACCAAGGACUGGGUGCAGCUGGACCGGCCUUUCGAAGGUGAAGCCUCCCACCCGCCAAAGCCCCAGAGAGCUGAGAGCAGGGUCAGAAGCUGAGGCUGGUACUGAGAGUGGGAUGAGAGGGGUCAAGGGUGGGACAGCCCUCCCUCUGGCAGGCUCCUUCUCCCUGCCCCAAGUGUCCCAAGGAGUCCAGCCCUGA
Molecule: small RNA, 362 nt
Filed under: Pan troglodytes (chimpanzee)
Lineage: Eukaryota; Metazoa; Chordata; Mammalia; Primates; Hominidae
Description: retained intron
Source: RNAcentral